CCUACGGGGGGCUGCAGUGGGGAAUAUUGGACAAUGGGCGAAAGCCUGAUCCAGCCAUGCCGCGUGUGUGAAGAAGGCCUUCGGGUUGUAAAGCACUUUCAGUGGGGAAGAAAGCCUUGGGGCUAAUACCCUCGAGGAAGGACAUUACCCACAGAAGAAGCACCGGCUAACUCCGUGCCAGCAGCCGCGGUAAUACGGAGGGUGCGAGCGUUAAUCGGAAUUACUGGGCGUAAAGCGCGCGUAGGCGGUCUGAUAAGCCGGUUGUGAAAGCCCCGGGCUCAACCUGGGAACGGCAUCCGGAACUGUCAGGCUAGAGUGCAGGAGAGGAAGGUAGAAUUCCCAGUGUAGCGGUGAAAUGCGUAGAGAUCGGGAGGAAUACCAGUGGCGAAGGCGGCCUUCUGGACUGACACUGACGCUGAGGUGCGAAAGCGUGGGUAGCAAACAGGAUUAGAUACCCUUGUAGUC
Molecule: ribosomal RNA, 465 nt
Filed under: Vreelandella stevensii
Lineage: Bacteria; Pseudomonadati; Pseudomonadota; Gammaproteobacteria; Oceanospirillales; Halomonadaceae
Description: partial 16S ribosomal RNA
Rfam family: Bacterial small subunit ribosomal RNA
Source: RNAcentral